GCGCAGGUGACAGAGUGGUCAAUUGUACCUGGCUGUAAACCAGGCGGCCUUCGGCCUACGCAGGUUCGAAUCCUGCCCUGCGCA
This 84-nucleotide transfer RNA is filed under the name Candidatus Nomurabacteria bacterium RIFCSPLOWO2_02_FULL_42_17. RNAcentral's name for it is "tRNA-Tyr". It matches the Rfam family "tRNA". From Rfam's summary of the family: Transfer RNA (tRNA) molecules are approximately 80 nucleotides in length. Their secondary structure includes four short double-helical elements and three loops (D, anti-codon, and T loops). Lineage: Bacteria; Candidatus Nomuraibacteriota. The record is from RNAcentral.